CUAGGAUCAGGAAAGGAUGUCUGGGAUGCUGAGCACCGGGAUGCUCACCGCUUCUGCCUAUAGGACACAGCUUCAGCAUGCAGCAGAGGAAUUCCUGCUGGGGAAGGAAGCAGAAGAUCCAAUAUAUACUGCCCCAGAAGGGCAUCUCGCAAUAUGGGGAAGAAAGGGCCAAGAGCUCUCAGGAGAAGAGGACCAGGGUCACACAUCAGGUUCAUCUCUGCAGUUCUCCCAAGUGAGAGUCAUUUCACAUGUAAAUGUGAAUUGCAUUGUGGAAAUGGUCAGGUGUCUGAAAUGUGUCUCAGACCACAAGGAAUCAGAGAGAAAGAGAAAGCUUCUCUAGGGGCUGCCCAGACUGAAAGAGUACAGCAAGUCCUGAUGGUCCCUUGUCUGCUUCUUGCAGGCUUUCCUGGGCAUGCUUGUUCCUGCUGAACAUCUUUCCCAUGGAGCUGAGUGCACUGCCAGCAGAUCACAUUGCACCUGCGGAUGAAGUCAGCCCAGAUGCCUGUGCUUGACCUCCAAGCAGGUUGUAGGUUACUUACCCCGCAGCAGGGGAUCACAAGCAGUGCUAGCUGAUAGCCACAGCCAGCGUGUCUGACUUGCCCUCUAUCUUUCCUACCCCUUCUCUCCGCUGGGCAAUAAUUGGGGCUGGAGAGAGCAGCAGAGGGGGAGGACCAGCCCCGCUGCCCCAGAGGUGCUGGUGGACACUUGCAUACCUGAUGCCUAGUCUGUAGUGGUUGGCAGCAGCACAUGCUACAGGAGAGGGAAGGCUCAUUGCUACUUUCUUGUUUCAUCUUAUCUGGUAAAAAUAGGCAGGUUGUUGUUAUUUUGAUCAGAUCAGUCCUUGUUUUGGAGGCAGAAACUAAAAAAUGGGGUUUGUUGUUUAGGGAAUAUCAGCCUGGGUUAUUCCUUGUUCUCUCCAGCAGGGACCAGUGGAAAUAGAGGCAGUGUCACAUCCAGAGCUGGAACAGGCUGCCUGUUUGGAUGACUCUGAAGCAGAAAUGGGAGUGGAUUGUAUUUGCUGGCCUCCACAUGAUCUCUGCGGAGGCAUCCAAGCUGCGCACUUUGUAGAACAGCUCAGUGGAUUUACUUUUUUCCUUUAUCGUUCCUACUCCCAGCUGUGGUCUUUUCUCCCUCUGCUGAAAAAUCAUUCCUCAGUUGACAAGAGCUUGCUAUAACCUUAGAGCCCUUUGGAGUCAAUACACAGUCAUCAGGGAGAGGCCAGGAGCAGGAGGGUUAAUGGGAUCAGAAUCAGCUGAUUCCAGAGAGCCAUAAUAUAGUGUCUCUGUCUUUCUUUUCUUGCUGUCUUUUAAUUAAGCCCCUUGUGCCUCUGCCUGGGAUUU
Molecule: long non-coding RNA, 1340 nt
Filed under: Apteryx owenii (little spotted kiwi)
Lineage: Eukaryota; Metazoa; Chordata; Aves; Apterygiformes; Apterygidae
Description: lncRNA (ENSAOWG00000011293.1)
Source: RNAcentral